UGCCGCUCACGCCCGGUCGUACUCAUAACC
RNAcentral lists this small nuclear RNA (30 nucleotides) under Arabidopsis thaliana (thale cress). RNAcentral's name for it is "snRNA_05388". Lineage: Eukaryota; Viridiplantae; Streptophyta; Magnoliopsida; Brassicales; Brassicaceae. The record is from RNAcentral.